This 153-nucleotide ribosomal RNA is filed under the name Anteholosticha monilata. Its description in RNAcentral is "5.8S ribosomal RNA". It matches the Rfam family "5.8S ribosomal RNA". Rfam says of the family: 5.8S ribosomal RNA (5.8S rRNA) is a component of the large subunit of the eukaryotic ribosome. It is transcribed by RNA polymerase I as part of the 45S precursor that also contains 18S and 28S rRNA. The record is from RNAcentral. Lineage: Eukaryota; Ciliophora; Spirotrichea; Urostylida; Holostichidae.
ACCAAAUUCUCAACGAUGGAUAUCUUGGUUCCCAUAACGAUGAAGAACGCAGCGAAGUGCGAUAAGCAAUGCGAAUUGCAGAACCGUGAGUCAUCAGAUUUUUGAACGCAAUUGGCGUCGGUUGGCUCUCCAAUCGGCAUGCUUGUUUCAGUG